Non-coding RNA from Rattus norvegicus (Norway rat), 874 nucleotides. The record is from RefSeq and is a predicted model, not a curated record. NCBI's taxonomy places the organism in Eukaryota, Metazoa, Chordata, Mammalia, Rodentia, Muridae.
GUGUAUCAUCAAUUAACCUGGCCACAGGGCCUCUGCUCACUGACUGCCCACCUUCGCUCUGGUGAAUACCUUUGGACAGGAUUGUUACAAAACAGGAUUGUUACGUCACUGGGUGCGGUUCCUGGCCUUACACUCCUUAGCUACCAACUGGGCCAAGAACAGCAUCUUUAGAUCACUUUUUGAUGCUUCUUUCACCACUACCACCUUUGAAGGAAUCCAUUACAAAUGAAGGUCAUUAACACUUGAUUUCCAUGCUUCCUAGAUCCCCUUGCUCCCAGUUUGUUGGGAUUAAUCACAAUUAUUUCAUUGCCCAAACAUACAUAACAUCCAUUGGAAAGGCUCAAAUUAGAGCCACUGACCAGUCUCUUUCACAACCCCUCACCGUCACAGAACCCUGACUCAGUUUCACCACUACUACCACUUUGGUGCAGGAGUCUAUGUUUACAUUGUGCUAGAUUUUCUUUGCAUGACAGUAAGCUUAAAUUCAUGGCUCAGUAUAUGAAAUCAGCAUUUGCUAAUGUGGAUAUAUGAACUACUGCUUGCUUUUCACCAUUACUAGGAAACAUUAAUUUUUGUUACUGUGUAAACAUCAACUAGAAAAAAGGUGUGGCCAUGUUCCCACUGAAUAGCUGAGGUAUUUUCCCUGCUCAAGAAAUUUUAUUACCUCAGACUCCCUGGAGACACAGUCUAUCCACCAAGAACAAGAGGAUGAGAAGAGAACAGCAAAGGAGCAAGUACACAUGCCCUUGUCCUUUCGCCUUCUGCUGUGUUAUGAUUCGGCACACCAGAUAGCAAACAGACGUCAGCAGCACCUUCUUGGAUGCUGCAGCUUCCAGCACUGUAAGCAGAUUAAAUCUCCAUUCUUCCUAAUUUA